AUGUAUAACUUCACUUGUUUAUAUUUCAGUAAAAUCAUUGUCCAUACUUUAUUUGUAAAACUUGUCACUGUCACUUUAUUUUUUAGAUGCUUUUAUUUUGAAAAGUACGUUUUAUUUUGGUACUCAUGGCACCGGCACAUUUCUGCAGACUCGCGCUACUUUCCUCAGUUAGCUUCAGGCCCCACUGAGGAGAAGUGUGAAGUUAGAAAGCUGAUGAAGCCAUUUCCUGCUUUAAUUAUUAUAUUCUGUUUUGCACAGGUAUGUGGGUAUUCUUUUUGUAUUUUGUAACUGUAAAUUGUAUUGUUUGUUAUGUAAGUGUAAAUUAAUGGUUAUAUUUGUGUAUAUUGGUUUACAAGGAAAAACUGGUUUGCCACCAUGGAUAGAUGUAUAUCUGUUAAUUGUAUUAUUUAGAACUCUGUAUACUUUCCUGAGUUAGCUUCAGGCCCCACUGAGGAGAAGUGUGAAGUUAGAAAGCUGAUGAAGCCAUUUCCUGCUUUAAUUAUUAUAUUCUGUUUUGCACAGAGAAUAAAUCCUGGUUGGCAAGAAAGAAGUCGUUCUCAUUUACACAACAUAACACAACGCAGAGAUCACAUGUGGCGUCAAACCAGACCGGUUACACUUGGUAAGAGGAACGGACCCGUGGCUUUGCUGAAAAAACGCUGAAAAACGGCGGGGUUGCUGCUGAGGGUAUUUUCUCAUACCAUUGUAUUGUGCAUCAACAAGCCUUGUUUGCUAAGUUUAAAUGUCUGAAUGAAGUGAUGGCAAAUGUAAUCGAAGUGGUUAAUUAUAUCAGGGCCCGUGCAAGAAACCACUUCAAUUUUAAACUGCUGUGUGAGGAGUUUGACACUCACUAUGGAGAUUUGGUGUUACACACCGAGUUCAGAUGGCUGUUUAAAGGACGUAUGCUUGCACAUUUCAUGUCCCAGGCAGACAGCAGUGGAUCAUAACCAGGCUGCAGUUUGCACACGCUAUUUGUUGUUGUUUAUAUAACGCAGUCUGUUCUUCUUCUCUGUCUUCCGGUUGUUGCCUAUUUUUAAUGACGAAUACAUACUACCGCCGCCUGCUGGUAAGGAGAGUUAUUGCCACUCACGCACUGAAGUCUUUGCGGUGUGUUCCCGUGCGACACAUGGCCAAGACGCAGGAGAACACCGCGACGCAACAGCCGACGUCGGCGUCGGCGAGUCCUCUGGUGACUGCUUGGUGUGUCAGGGCCUUUAUCUGUUGUUAUGGGAAGUGAUGAUCAGUAAACAUGCUGUCUGUUAUCUGUUGUUAUGGGUAGUGAUGAUCAGCAAUGUGUGUUUUGUGGUUGCAGUGAAAAUAAUAAAUCACAGUUAUUGCACUGUA
Long non-coding RNA from Gymnodraco acuticeps, 1344 nucleotides. RefSeq lists it as uncharacterized. The record is from RefSeq and is a predicted model, not a curated record. NCBI's taxonomy places the organism in Eukaryota, Metazoa, Chordata, Actinopteri, Perciformes, Bathydraconidae. The transcript has 2 exons.